This 920-nucleotide long non-coding RNA is filed under the name Cricetulus griseus (Chinese hamster). RNAcentral describes it as "lncRNA (ENSCGRG00015042478.1)". The record is from RNAcentral. Lineage: Eukaryota; Metazoa; Chordata; Mammalia; Rodentia; Cricetidae.
AUUUCAGGAAAAGCAAAUGUUCACAAAUGGCUCAGAAUGUCACUCAUGAUUUCUGUAUAAUAUUAUUUCUUGUGUCUUUUAAUGUUGUUGUUUGUUGGUAGGGGAACAUCGGUGAUGAAGUCUAUUUUAUCAGAGUGUAUAUAACUCAACCAUACUUCGGCCUCAGCCUCCCCGUUACAGAUUACUCCAGAAGCUGUCCACAUUUCCUGUACAAGAAGCUAAAAAGACAUGCUUUGCUCUGAAGUAUAUGCCUGGUUGAGGAGGAGCAGAGUUACUAUCAAAAACAUUAUGAAAAGGAAAACACGAUCAGAUGUGAAGCCCCCAAGCAUUAAAAAAAAACCAAAAACAUAAGACACCACUUAUGCAUCUCAAAUGAAUUUAAGUUUACAGCCAUAGAUAACUUACAUCCCAAGGUGUGCAAUGGACUUACAGAUGUAAUCAUGAAUGAUUGGCAGUAACUGCAGAAUCGCAGAGGAGUGCAGUUUUGUCAGGCGGCGUGAUCCGAGUGAAUAAUCCCCAGUUCUCUCAAAGGGUAAAAUGGAUGUCCAAACGCACACCAUCAGCUCUUACAUAUCAUCCUACAAUGUGCUCCAAGUCUCUGUUACUGGCCUUUUCCUGCCAAGCUCACCAGCCCAUCUUCAUGUUUCUAAGAAGUUUCAGCUUGGGACUUUCCUUCAGUCAAAGGAGUUCAGCUCAGUGCUUAGCUGUGGAUCUCUGUUUCUACUUCCAUCAGCUACUGGACGAAGGUUCUGUGAUGUCAUUUAAGCAUGCUGGAAGAUGAGUGCUGAAGAAUGCCCAUUACUGUAGUUCCCUUUGGUUCUGCAAUUGAUUUAUACCAACUAUAAGCAGCCCCACCCCUUCCAGUCUAUGUCGCAUCUAAAAUAUCCGUCCUUCUUCCUCCCCCCUAUAACCAAAUGUCC